Leptonychotes weddellii (Weddell seal) is the source of this 511-nucleotide non-coding RNA. NCBI's taxonomy places the organism in Eukaryota, Metazoa, Chordata, Mammalia, Carnivora, Phocidae. The record is from RefSeq and is a predicted model, not a curated record.
UUUUCCCCUUCUUCCUUUUUCCUUUCUCCUCUGUGCUCAGUCCGUCUCGUCCGUAAGACCAUCGGUGUUUCUUUCCGAAUAUUCCGCCCCAUGCGCGGUCGCUGACACGUGUUUUAAUUUCUUCCAGGGCUCUGCAUGUCUUGUAAGAAGCAAUCGAGUCUGCUGUCCUGGAAACUGGAGGAACUCGUUGGAGAAAAAGAAUUAUUUGAGCCGAUUGUGAGAAAUUGAACAGCGGCAGGAGGAAAAGGAGAGAAGAAAGGAGCCGACACAUCUAACCAGGCGGCUGGGGCACUGUGCAUACACAUGCAGGUGGCGGCUGGGUCCCUGUUGCGGCUCAUUACUGAGAAGCACAUCAGAGGCCACUGGGUGAGGGUCAGGGACAACCGGGCGCAGCACUGAGCUUUGAACAGGGCUGUUCUGCAGAACGACCAGCACCCUCCUGCCACCUAGGUGCUGUGGCUGUGGAACCAAUUCCCAUUUUCAGAAAUGCAGACCGCCUGGGGCACAAUCA